This 836-nucleotide ribosomal RNA is filed under the name uncultured bacterium. RNAcentral describes it as "bacterial SSU rRNA". It matches the Rfam family "Bacterial small subunit ribosomal RNA", at positions 61 to 864 of the family's 1533-position model. The record is from RNAcentral.
GUCGAGCGAGCGGAACCACAGAUUUACUUCGGUAAUGACGUUGGGAAAGCGAGCGGCGGAUGGGUGAGUAACACGUGGGGAACCUGCCCCUAAGUCUGGGAUACCAUUUGGAAACAGGUGCUAAUACCGGAUAAUAAAGCAGAUCGCAUGAUCAGCUUUUGAAAGGCGGCGUAAGCUGUCGCUAAGGGAUGGCCCCGCGGUGCAUUAGCUAGUUGGUAAGGUAACGGCUUACCAAGGCGACGAUGCAUAGCCGAGUUGAGAGACUGAUCGGCCACAUCGGGACUGAGACACGGCCCAAACUCCUACGGGAGGCAGCAGUAGGGAAUCUUCCACAAUGGACGCAAGUCUGAUGGAGCAACGCCGCGUGAGUGAAGAAGGUUUUCGGAUCGUAAAGCUCUGUUGUUGGUGAAGAAGGAUAGAGGUAGUAACUGGCCUUUAUUUGACGGUAAUCAACCAGAAAGUCACGGCUAACUACGUGCCAGCAGCCGCGGUAAUACGUAGGUGGCAAGCGUUGUCCGGAUUUAUUGGGCGUAAAGCGAGCGCAGGCGGAAAAAUAAGUCUAAUGUGAAAGCCCUCGGCUUAACCGAGGAACUGCAUCGGAAACUGUUUUUCUUGAGUGCAGAAGAGGAGAGUGGAACUCCAUGUGUAGCGGUGGAAUGCGUAGAUAUAUGGAAGAACACCAGUGGCGAAGGCGGCUCUCUGGUCUGCAACUGACGCUGAGGCUCGAAAGCAUGGGUAGCGAACAGGAUUAGAUACCCUGGUAGUCCAUGCCGUAAACGAUGAGUGCUAAGUGUUGGGAGGUUUCCGCCUCUCAGUGCUGCAGCUAACGCAUUAAG